This is a non-coding RNA of Acanthosepion pharaonis, 105 nucleotides long. Lineage: Eukaryota; Metazoa; Mollusca; Cephalopoda; Sepiida; Sepiidae. The record is from the annotation of a GenBank genome assembly.
GAGCACAUCACGUUGAAACACCGGUUCUCGUACGAUCACCGAAGUUAAGCAACGUUGAUCCUGGUCAGUUCUUAUAUGGUUGGCCGCUUGGGAAUACCAGGUGCU